RNAcentral lists this ribosomal RNA (92 nucleotides) under Astragalus canadensis var. brevidens. RNAcentral's name for it is "partial 26S ribosomal RNA". It matches the Rfam family "Eukaryotic large subunit ribosomal RNA", at positions 1 to 89 of the family's 3401-position model. Lineage: Eukaryota; Viridiplantae; Streptophyta; Magnoliopsida; Fabales; Fabaceae. The record is from RNAcentral. RNAcentral also lists the same sequence under 1 other name.
CGAGACCUCAGGUCAGGGCGGGGCUACCCGCUGAAUUUAAGCAUAUCAAUAAGCGGAGGAAAAGAAACUAACAAGGAUUCCCUUAGUAACGG